CGGCCUCCUUUCGACCUCCUGCAAGAAUCGGACCCCGUCCGAACUUUCACAGCGGAUGGAUUCUGAACGAGCUUCUGCAAGGAUCGGACUCCGUCCGAACUUUCACAGUGGAUGGAUUUCGAACGAGCUUCUGCAAGGAUCGGACUCCGUCUGAACUUUCAUAGUGGAUGGAUUCUGGACGAGCUCCUGCAAGAACCGAACUCUGUCCGAACUUUCACAGC
Molecule: long non-coding RNA, 221 nt
Filed under: Elaeis guineensis (African oil palm)
Lineage: Eukaryota; Viridiplantae; Streptophyta; Magnoliopsida; Arecales; Arecaceae
Description: long non-coding RNA (EGUI_LNC037708)
Source: RNAcentral